UAUAUAAUAGUCUUUUACAAUAACAUUUAGUUUAAUAUCAAAAUAUAAUGAAAAUAGCUAUAGUUAAAAGAAAUAAGGUUACUUUUCAACUUUCAUAAAUAAAAAGUAUCGACUGUAAAAUAAAAAUAUAGUAUAUUAAAAAUAUUUCUUUUAAGAGAAAAAUAGAGGAGUAUAUUGGAGGUGAACUUAUUUUUAAAUCAAGUUUUCUUAUUUUAGAGACGGAAAUAGAGAAAUAAAUUCGAAAUGAUAUAAGUUGGAGAUAAAUCUUAUAAAAUAAAAAUAAACAAAACUUUACUUACCUUUUUAAAAAAAAAAAUUAGAAGAGAAGAAAAAGAAAGUGACAGCUCAUAUAAGGGUGAGCACUCGAAUACGCAUUCAUAUUGGAUCAGAUAUUUUAGAUUUUCAUUUAUUUUAAUUGAAAAUUCUUUAUUGGCUUGGGUAUGUUUUAUAUUUGGGUCGG
Molecule: long non-coding RNA, 460 nt
Filed under: Brassica rapa (field mustard)
Lineage: Eukaryota; Viridiplantae; Streptophyta; Magnoliopsida; Brassicales; Brassicaceae
Description: long non-coding RNA (BRAP_LNC006963)
Source: RNAcentral